This 669-nucleotide ribosomal RNA is filed under the name uncultured Actinomycetes bacterium. RNAcentral describes it as "bacterial SSU rRNA". It matches the Rfam family "Bacterial small subunit ribosomal RNA", at positions 50 to 734 of the family's 1533-position model. Lineage: Bacteria; Bacillati; Actinomycetota; Actinomycetes. The record is from RNAcentral.
AACACAUGCAAGUCGAGCGGAAAGGCCUUUCGGGGGUACUCGAGCGGCGAACGGGUGAGUAACACGUGAGUAAUCUGCCCUGCGCUCUGGGAUAGCCACCGGAAACGGUGAUUAAUACCGGAUAGGACCACCUCACGCAUGUGAUGGUGGUGGAAAGUUUUUUCGGCGCAGGAUGUGCUCGCGGCCUAUCAGCUUGUUGGUGAGGUAACGGCUCACCAAGGCUUUGACGGGUAACCGGCCUGAGAGGGUGACCGGUCACACUGGGACUGAGACACGGCCCAGACUCCUACGGGAGGCAGCAGUGGGGAAUAUUGGACAAUGGGCGGAAGCCUGAUCCAGCAACGCCGCGUGAGGGAUGACGGCCUUCGGGUUGUAAACCUCUUUCAGUACCGACGAAACGAAAGUGACGGUAGGUACAGAAGAAGGACCGGCCAACUACGUGCCAGCAGCCGCGGUAAUACGUAGGGUCCGAGCGUUGUCCGGAAUUAUUGGGCGUAAAGGGCUCGUAGGCGGUUUGUCGCGUCGGGAGUGAAAACACCGGGCUUAACUCGGUGCUUGCUUUCGAUACGGGCAGACUAGAGGUAUGCAGGGGAGAAUGGAAUUCCUGGUGUAGCGGUGAAAUGCGCAGAUAUCAGGAGGAACACCGGUGGCGAAGGCGGUUCUCUGGGC